AUGUCGCUAGCAUGUGCCCUCGCCGGCGGCCCAGCCGCGUUCAAGGACGUCUUCGUCGACAGCCGCCACGACCCGCCGUUGCCCCUGCCGAAGAAAGACCACAGCGGUGGCGACGGCGACGGCGACGCCCUCACGAGCAACCCGAUGACGGGGCAGCGCCUGUACCAGGGCACCUGGGUGAUGGAAGGGUGGAUCCCGGGGAUCGUCCAGAUUCAAAACGGCGGCGGCUUCACGCCACGUCGUGGCGAUGUCAUCCUCGCCAGCCCGCCCAAGUGUGGCACCACGUGGCUCAAGGCGCUCGCCUUCGCCACCAUGGCACGCGGGGCGCACCCGCCCGCCGCCCCCGACCACCCGCUCCUCCGCCACACGCCGCACGACUGCGUCCCGUUCAUGGAGGUGAUCGUGUCCGGCGGGUGGGGGAGCAAGCUGGACGCGCUGCCGUCGCCGAGGCUCUUGUCCACGCACAUGCCCUACUCUACUCUGCCCGCCUCCAUCACCAAGAAUCCAGACUGCAAGAUCGUCUACAUCUGCAGGGACCCAAAGGACAUGGUAGUCUCAAUGUGGCACUUCCUUAGGCAUCCUCGGCCAAACCUGUCAUUCAACGACAUGUUCGAGCUCACCUGCGAGGGCAGAUCUCUAUGCGGCCCAUUCUGGGACCACAUCCUCGGGUACUGGAACGCCGGCAAAACCAUGAGUGGCGACGAGGGCCAACCAGAGAUGACCUCGGCAGCGGUCCUUUUCCUCAGGUACGAGGAAAUGAUAAAAGACCCAGCCAACAAUGUACGAAAGCUGGCGCGGUUCGUUGGGCAACCAUUCUCCGCUGCCGAGGAGGAAACCAAGGUUGUGGACGACAUUGUGGAUCUGUGCAGCUUUGAGAAGCUGAGCAGCCUCAAGGUGAACAAGGCGGGCCCUGUGGUGUUCACCAAGUAUCCUCGUGAAUCUUACUUCAGGAGAGGGGGUGUAGGAGACUGGAUGAACCAUAUGACACCUGAAAUGGCGCAUCGUUUUGACGCCCUUUUGCAAAGCAAGUUCCACGGAUCGGGCCUAGAUCUCCUGUGA
This 1059-nucleotide ribosomal RNA is filed under the name Triticum aestivum (bread wheat). RNAcentral's name for it is "partial small subunit ribosomal RNA". Lineage: Eukaryota; Viridiplantae; Streptophyta; Magnoliopsida; Poales; Poaceae. The record is from RNAcentral.